This is a long non-coding RNA of Ursus maritimus (polar bear), 2201 nucleotides long. The record is from Ensembl. NCBI's taxonomy places the organism in Eukaryota, Metazoa, Chordata, Mammalia, Carnivora, Ursidae.
GUUGAGCACACUGCCCCCGCCCCACAGUGCCCGGGACCUUGACCCACAGCCCCCGCCUCUGCCCCUGUCUCCCCAGCAGCAACUCUCAAGGGACCCCCUCUUGCCAUCCCGGCCCCUGGAUUCGCUGUCCAGGAGAUCGAACUCAGGGGAGCAGCUGGACCAUGUGCCUAGCCGGCACCCCUCGCGAGAAGGCCUCGGGCCACCCCCACAGCUGCUCAGAGUUAGGGAGGACCCAGCCAGUGGCCCUAGUCAUGGCCCCUCCACAGAGCAGCUGGACAUUCUUUCUUCCAUCCUGGCCUCCUUCAACUCCUCAGCUCUCUCCUCCUCUGUGCAGUCCUCAAGCACGCCCUCGGGCCCUCACACCACGGCCACGCCUUCUGCCACAGCCUCUGCGCUUGGGCCCUCCACACCACGCUCUGCCACGUCCCACAGCAUCUCGGAGCUGUCUCCAGAUUCAGAAGUUCCCAGAAGCGAGGGGCACUCCUGAGGGGCAGACGCCCGGACUAGGAACGGCUGAGGGCCAUGGAGGAUUUGAGCUAAGAGAAGAGACUCCAGGCAUCGGGGGCUGAUCCCAAGGCAGCCUCCCACCCACCCCCCAGCUCUCCUGUGGCUGCGGCGCUGAGGCUCCUCGCUCUGUCUGUGAGCAUGCGAGCAUGUGCGUAACAGGUGCAGGGCGAGGGAACUGAAAGGAGGACUUUUAUAUGUUUUGUACCUUUGUAACCAGAGAGAUAUGCUUAUGUUAUUUUUCAGCUUUUCUGUCUCCCGGGGUUCUGAGGCUGGGCUGGGAGGGGAAGGGGACAGAGGAUAAGAGGUGCCGUGUUUGGCCCCAUUUGGGUCCCUGGCACAUCGUAUGCUCUUUCCUCUCAUCUUACUGGGGUGGAUUCAGAGAGGAGGGGCAACUAGCCCCCCCCCCAUUGAUCUGACUAUUGUUAGGGCCCAAAGUACAGAAUUGAUCUUUGCUCUUUCUCGAAUGCCCCAAGGGCCAAACUUCAGGGACUGGGGGUUGGUCUUGGAAACAGGGGUCCUCUGACCUCCUCACGGGGCUUGCUCGUGCUGCCCCUCCCCGUGGAUGUGUGUGUUUCUUAUGUGGAGUCCCUGCCACUUACUGCCUUAUGACCUAGGACUGAUGCUGCGGGGCGCUGGUAGAGCUGCACGCGUCAUGUUUACAGAGCAAGGCUUUCCUUUCUCCCAUGCGGAGGGGCUCAGGCCUCUAUUCAGACAUUCCUGCAGACGGUGGACUAGGGGGGCAUUUGCCAGCCCAUUGUCUGUGGUGCCAUUUCAGUCCCUGACACUGCCCUGCCCUAGAAUUUCUUCCUCAGGGUAGGGGGAGGCAGGGGGAGCAAGGGGGAGCAGAAAUAAGAGAGUUAAAGACACAGAAUGUAGGUGCCACUGCCUCCCAUGUUUACAGGACCCUCCCUGGCCCUAGGCACCUGGGCUGCGGUAACUAGUCCCACCCUACUUUAUUCCCUUCUAAAGGGAAAAAUGACUGUUUGGACCCUGUUCACAAAACUCUCUUACAUUACUUUGUCUGACACCCAGAACUGGGAACUUUUAGAUUUUGUUACUUUGUUUACAGGUCAAGAUUUAAAACAUUUUAAAAAACUUUGUUUACAACUUAAAACUUUGAACUUUUACACUUUGUUUACAGUUGAAAAUGUGGUUCCCCCCCUCUGUUUACAAGUGAAAGAUUGAGAAGGUGGGAGAGGGGCCUGAGGACCUUGGACCUGGCCAUCUUGAGGGGUUUCUAGCUGCUAGCUCUCCUAGGCCAAAGGUCAGCCCUGAGUCCCCCCUGUUGAACAGCAGACCCAGAAGGCCUCCAGAGCAGGCAUCCUCUUACAGCUGGGAACAACGUGUUGCUUAGGGUGGUAGGGGGUCUGUGCAGACACCCCCCUUCCCCACACAUACUCUUGGGAGGCAGUUUCCAAGGAGAUUAAAAGUUCUACUUUGCUGACUGGUGCCAAAUCCUGCCAGCCAGGACUCCAGCUCUCCUUACCCAGAAUGACCCCAGCCCUUGAAGGGUUGAGGGGCCCGCUGUGGGGAGAGGGGCUGUCCUUGCUAUGUCCUAGGUUCUAUAGAUGCCCUUCUCUGGGGGUCCCCUGCUCCAGCCCAGUGUCCCCUUUCCCUGUCUGUGUAAAUUGUUCCGUGAAGCCGCGCUCUGUUUUGGGAAUAAACUUCUAUAGAAAAUGGUUAUUGCCUCUUUC